RNAcentral lists this non-coding RNA (24 nucleotides) under Arabidopsis thaliana (thale cress). Lineage: Eukaryota; Viridiplantae; Streptophyta; Magnoliopsida; Brassicales; Brassicaceae. The record is from RNAcentral.
CAGCCACCUAAUAGAUCUCACAGU